CAUUUCUUAUUAAAUUUUUAAUAAGUAUCACCUGCUCAAUGAAUUAAUUAAAUAGCCGCGGAAAUUUAACCGUGCUAAGGUAGCAUAAUCAUUAGCCUCUUAAUUAGAGACUAGAAUGAAAGGUGAAACAUUUCAAUUUCUAUUUUAUUUUAUUUUUUCUAAAUUAAAUUAAGAAUAAAAAUGUUCUUAUUAAUGAAAUAGACGAUAAGACCCUAUUGAACUUUACUUUAGUUUAGCUGGGGCAGCUUAAUAAAAAUUAUUUUAUUAUUUUUAUUUUUCAUAAAUGACCCAAUAAAAUUGAUUUUAUGAACAAGUUACCAUAGGGAUAACAGCGUAAUAUUUUUUUAAAGCUCUUAUUUUAAUAAAAGAUUGCGACCUCGAUGUUGAAUUAAUGUUACUUUAAAAUGCAAAAACUUUAAAAGUAGGUCUGUUCGACCUUUAAAACAUUAC
Molecule: ribosomal RNA, 450 nt
Filed under: Acusilas coccineus
Lineage: Eukaryota; Metazoa; Arthropoda; Arachnida; Araneae; Araneidae
Description: partial 16S ribosomal RNA
Rfam family: Bacterial large subunit ribosomal RNA
Source: RNAcentral